AUUGAACGCUGGCGGCAGGCCUAACACAUGCAAGUCGAACGGUAACAGGAAGCAGCUUGCUGCUUUGCUGACGAGUGGCGGACGGGUGAGUAAUGUCUGGGAAACUGCCCGAUGGAGGGGGAUAACUACUGGAAACGGUAGCUAAUACCGCAUAACGUCGCAAGACCAAAGAGGGGGACCUUAGGGCCUCUUGCCAUCGGAUGUGCCCAGAUGGGAUUAGCUAGUAGGUGGGGUAACGGCUCACCUAGGCAACGAUCCCUAGCUGGUCUGAGAGGAUGACCAGCCACACUGGAACUGAGACACGGUCCAGACUCCUACGAGAGGCAGCAGUGGGGAAUAUUGCACAAUGGGCGCAAGCCUGAUGCAGCCAUGCCGCGUGUAUGAAGAAGGCCUUCGGGUUGUAAAGUACUUUCAGCGGGGAGGAAGGGAGUAAAGUUAAUACCUUUGCUCAUUGACGUUACCCGCAGAAGAAGCACCGGCUAACUCCGUG
This 490-nucleotide ribosomal RNA is filed under the name uncultured bacterium. Its description in RNAcentral is "partial 16S ribosomal RNA". It matches the Rfam family "Bacterial small subunit ribosomal RNA", at positions 30 to 507 of the family's 1533-position model. The record is from RNAcentral.